AUGGAUGCGGGAUUUGAUCAUGACUCACUUGAAGGCUCUGUAGGUGUUGUCAUCAAAGCCCACAACGACAAGUUCAUAGCUGCCAGGAAUGAAAAACUUGAAAUCUGCGAUGAUGCUUUCACAACAGAAGCAAUUGCAGUUAGGUUUGGCUUAAACCUCGCCCGCACAACUGGAUGCAGCAUUAUUGAAGUAAAUUCAGAUAGCAUGGAGGUGAUUUCAACACUCAAAGAGGGAUACUCGUCUUCGGUGGUCAGUGCGAUCUUUGAUGAUUGUUAUUUCAUGUCCUUAGAUUUCAGUCAUAUUGCUUUUGAACAUUGUUAUAGAGAGAACAAUAAAGUAGCCCACGAAUUAGCUAGACUAGCUAGAUUCACUCCUCCUGAUGUAUGGAUGGAUGCAGCCCCGAUGGUUGUUAUUCCUCUCAUUGUCUCCGAUGCUACAAUUGUAGCCAAUUAA
RNAcentral lists this ribosomal RNA (453 nucleotides) under Triticum aestivum (bread wheat). RNAcentral's name for it is "partial small subunit ribosomal RNA". Lineage: Eukaryota; Viridiplantae; Streptophyta; Magnoliopsida; Poales; Poaceae. The record is from RNAcentral.